UUAAGGUGCCACCAGACUCCUUGUUGUCUUAGCAGCUAAAAGCAACAGAGGGUCCUGUGGCACCUUUAAGACUAACAGACGUAUUGGGAGCAUAAGCUUUCGUGCAUCUGAAGAAGUGAGGUUCUUACCCACGAAAGCUUAUGCUCCCAAUACUUCUGUUAGUCUUAAAGGUGCCCCAGGACCCUCUGUUGCUUUUUACAGAUUCAGACUAACACGGCUACCCCUCUGAUUCUUAGCAGCUAGUUCCUCUUUUCAAAGCCAGAUCGUUAAUUAAGAUGCUGAGCAGGUAGAAGGAAGUAAACUCCAAAAAUGUGACCACAUGGAACCUCCCAUUCAGGGUAAGUGAGCUGGGGAGGGAGGUGAAAUCUGCAUCUGCCUCAUCAAGAAGCUAGUAUAAAUAGCCUUGCAUCUGGCACUCCUCCCCAGUACAGGUGUGUCCUUAACAGAGGCAGAGGGACUAGCAAAGCGCAUCAUGGCAGCCCUUAUCUCCACACUGCAAUUGCUCUUCCUUGGGGCUCUGAUUGCCCCCGUCUAUUUGCAGGAUCCUUGUCAACUUAUCCAGAAUACCACUAAUCCUGGCUCUUACAAUCUAUCUGUGAACCCUGCUGUCUACAUGGCAAACACAAACUACAGUGUAACCAUCAGUGGAGUCGUGGACGGCAGCUUGGUUAUCCUGCAGGCCCUCAAUUCCCAGAACUCCUUUGUGGGCCAGUGGGAAGAUCCAGUUGCGAGCUGCAGCAACAGCCUAUCAGUAGGGCAGCAAAAUAUCACCAACAAAGCCACAGCCACAGUACAAUGGAGAUCUCCAACCAGUGGGUCAGCCCCUGUGGAAAUAAGGGUUCUUGUGACUUUUUCCAAUAACUCUACCCUUCCCCAGCUCCAGAAGACAACCCUGAAUACAGCAUCUACAGCCUCCUCUGGAUCAACGACAAAGACACCCACCACACCUGCCAGCACCACCAGUUCCGUCUCCACGGUGCAGGCCAGCUCCUUCCUCCUGGCAGCCGUCCACCUGCUGUCACUCUUUGUUACUGGCAAACUGUUCUCCUAGUGGGAAACAGCACCCCAGUCGAGCCACGCCCUUCCAUCUUUGCUUUCCUCCUGGAUGCAAGGGUGGAUGGCUGAUCUACUCAGGAAGUCUCUCUUCUACUGUUAUGUAUUUAAGAAUGAUGACUGCACUUUCUUUUACACCCUACUUGACCAGAGAGCUGACACCCAACCCCAUUGCCAGCAGCAGGAAACACAUGAAGAAAUUCUGGCAUGUACUUGUCUCAAGAGUUUUCAUGAGCUGAAAUGUUCUGUAGCCAGUCAGGAUUUGAUGCAUUCAUAGAGUGUAGAACAGCGUCGGGUAGAGUAGUCUGACAAAGGUGACUGAACAAGGUAACACCAGGGGUUCCUUCCACCCUGAUCUCCUACAGGUCUAUGAAGCGGAGACCGCAUGUGUCUACCACCAGGAGCGCUAAGCUGCUUUCCACAUUAGGGCACUGCAGGUUGAUAACGGGCAUGGGGAAGGGUCUUCCACAGCUGCGUUGCUGCAUUCCAUUUGCUGUGCACACUGGGAACGGAGCCAGUGUCUUUCGGAGUCAGUAGCUCCUGUAUGUGACUGAUCGACAGUUGCUUACAGGGCCCUGACUGGGAUGGGGCAUUGUAAAUCAGUCGGACUUGCAGAGAAUGGUGAAGGGCGAGGCAGACUUGCACACACUUCAGACUGAUUAAAGCCUGAAUGGGAUCCAAAUUUAAAUGAUGAUGAAAGAAGUAAAUGCACCCUGUUUUUCAGGCUAACCUGCCAUGUGGAGGCAAGUCCCUUCCGUAAAUCAAGCUAGAACCCCUGCUCGCAGGGCCUUCUCCAUGAAGGCCCCCUGACUGGAAUUCACUGCCAGUUUCAAUUCUUGGUCCAAGAUAACCUGUUGUACUUCAGGGCACAAUUUUUUCUCUGGUGUUUUCGGGCGGGACCCUGAGAUGAAGGAAGGGUUAGGUCUCUGAAACGAGUAGGAAAUUUUUCUUCAUAGACAGCAGAUGAUUUUUCACUGCCAUGUUGGCUGGAAUGUGCC
This is a long non-coding RNA of Chrysemys picta bellii (western painted turtle), 2051 nucleotides long. The record is from Ensembl. Lineage: Eukaryota; Metazoa; Chordata; Testudines; Emydidae.